UUUAUGGAGAGUUUGAUCCUGGCUCAGAGUGAACGCUGGCGGCGUGCCUAAUACAUGCAAGUCGAACGAUGAAGCUUCUAGCUUGCUAGAAUGCUGAUUAGUGGCGCACGGGUGAGUAACGCAUAGGUUAUGUGCCUCUUAGUUUGGGAUAGCCAUUGGAAACGAUGAUUAAUACCAGAUACUCCCUACGGGGGAAAGAUUUAUCGCUAAGAGAUCAGCCUAUGUCCUAUCAGCUUGUUGGUAAGGUAAUGGCUUACCAAGGCUAUGACGGGUAUCCGGCCUGAGAGGGUGAACGGACACACUGGAACUGAGACACGGUCCAGACUCCUACGGGAGGCAGCAGUAGGGAAUAUUGCUCAAUGGGGGAAACCCUGAAGCAGCAACGCCGCGUGGAGGAUGAAGGUUUUAGGAUUGUAAACUCCUUUUGUUAGAGAAGAUAAUGACGGUAUCUAACGAAUAAGCACCGGCUAACUCCGUGCCAGCAGCCGCGGUAAUACGGAGGGUGCAAGCGUUACUCGGAAUCACUGGGCGUAAAGAGCGCGUAGGCGGGAUAGUCAGUCAGGUGUGAAAUCCUAUGGCUUAACCAUAGAACUGCAUUUGAAACUACUAUUCUAGAGUGUGGGAGAGGUAGGUGGAAUUCUUGGUGUAGGGGUAAAAUCCGUAGAGAUCAAGAGGAAUACUCAUUGCGAAGGCGACCUGCUGGAACAUUACUGACGCUGAUUGCGCGAAAGCGUGGGGAGCAAACAGGAUUAGAUACCCUGGUAGUCCACGCCCUAAACGAUGGAUGCUAGUUGUUGGAGGGCUUAGUCUCUCCAGUAAUGCAGCUAACGCAUUAAGCAUCCCGCCUGGGGAGUACGGUCGCAAGAUUAAAACUCAAAGGAAUAGACGGGGACCCGCACAAGCGGUGGAGCAUGUGGUUUAAUUCGAAGAUACACGAAGAACCUUACCUAGGCUUGACAUUGAGAGAAUCCGCUAGAAAUAGUGGAGUGUCUGGCUUGCUAGACCUUGAAAACAGGUGCUGCACGGCUGUCGUCAGCUCGUGUCGUGAGAUGUUGGGUUAAGUCCCGCAACGAGCGCAACCCCCUUUCUUAGUUGCUAACAGGUCAUGCUGAGAACUCUAAGGAUACUGCCUCCGUAAGGAGGAGGAAGGUGGGGACGACGUCAAGUCAUCAUGGCCCUUACGCCUAGGGCUACACACGUGCUACAAUGGGGUGCACAAAGAGAAGCAAUACUGCGAAGUGGAGCCAAUCUUCAAAACACCUCUCAGUUCGGAUUGUAGGCUGCAACUCGCCUGCAUGAAGCUGGAAUCGCUAGUAAUCGCAAAUCAGCCAUGUUGCGGUGAAUACGUUCCCGGGUCUUGUACUCACCGCCCGUCACACCAUGGGAGUUGUGUUUGCCUUAAGUCAGGAUGCUAAAUUGGCUACUGCCCACGGCACACACAGCGACUGGGGUGAAGUCGUAACAAGGUAACCGUAGGUGAACCUGCGGUUGGAUCACCUCCUUUCUAGA
Molecule: ribosomal RNA, 1509 nt
Filed under: Helicobacter pylori
Lineage: Bacteria; Pseudomonadati; Campylobacterota; Epsilonproteobacteria; Campylobacterales; Helicobacteraceae
Description: bacterial SSU rRNA
Rfam family: Bacterial small subunit ribosomal RNA
Source: RNAcentral